Molecule: ribosomal RNA, 497 nt
Filed under: uncultured bacterium
Lineage: Bacteria
Description: partial 16S ribosomal RNA
Rfam family: Bacterial small subunit ribosomal RNA
Source: RNAcentral
GACGAACGCUGGCGGCGUGCCUAAUACAUGCAAGUAGAACGCUGAAGCGAGGAGCUUGCUCUUCUUGGAUGAGUUGCGAACGGGUGAGUAACGCGUAGGUAACCUGCCUUGUAGCGGGGGAUAACUAUUGGAAACGAUAGCUAAUACCGCAUAACAAUGGAUGACACAUGUCAUUUAUUUGAAAGGGGCAAUUGCUCCACUACAAGAUGGACCUGCGUUGUAUUAGCUAGUAGGUGAGGUAACGGCCCACCUAGGCGACGAUACAUAGCCGACCUGAGAGGGUGAUCGGCCACACUGGGACUGAGACACGGCCCAGACUCCUACGGGAGGCAGCAGUAGGGAAUCUUCGGCAAUGGGGGCAACCCUGACCGAGCAACGCCGCGUGAGUGAAGAAGGGUUUCGGAUCGUAAAGCUCUGUUGUAAGUCAAGAACGAGUGUGAGAGUGGAAAGUUCACACUGUGACGGUAGCUUACCAGAAAGGGACGGCUAACUACGUG